Drosophila persimilis is the source of this 235-nucleotide long non-coding RNA. RefSeq lists it as uncharacterized. The record is from RefSeq and is a predicted model, not a curated record. NCBI's taxonomy places the organism in Eukaryota, Metazoa, Arthropoda, Insecta, Diptera, Drosophilidae. The transcript has 3 exons.
UUGGUUUAUUUGGAGGUGUGCGUUGAAUUUGGUUUUGAUUGGUUUGCUUGGAGGUGAUUUGGUUUAUACUUUCUGGAUUUUUGCUGUACCAUUGGAUCAAGUCUUAACCAUUCGGCUGGAGGACGCCUUCCUCUACAUCCCCUCUGUGGUCUGGCACUAUAAUUCUUUGUAUACCCAAUGGUUGGCCCCUGAUUCUUUCAAGUAUUGUUUCCCUAGUAAAUUUCCCUUGAGCAUA